UGGGGAAUAUUGGACAAUGGGCGCAAGCCUGAUCCAGCCAUGCCGCGUGAGUGAUGACGGCCUUAGGGUUGUAAAGCUCUUUCGCCCACGACGAUAAUGACGGUAGUGGGAGAAGAAGCCCCGGCAAACUUCGUGCCAGCAGCCGCGGUAAUACGAAGGGGGCUAGCGUUGUUCGGAUUAACUGGGCGUAAAGGGCGCGUAGGCGGAAUUUUAAGUCAGGGGUGAAAUGCCGAGGCUCAACCUCGGAACUGCCCUUGAUACUGGCAUUCUUGAGUCCGGGAGAGGUGAGUGGAACUGCGAGUGUAGAGGUGAAAUUCGUAGAUAUUCGCAAGAACACCAGUGGCGAAGGCGGCUCACUGGCCCGGGACUGACGCUGAGGCGCGAAAGCGUGGGGAGCAAACAGGAUUAGAUACCCCCGUAGUCC
RNAcentral lists this ribosomal RNA (424 nucleotides) under uncultured bacterium. RNAcentral's name for it is "bacterial SSU rRNA". It matches the Rfam family "Bacterial small subunit ribosomal RNA", at positions 355 to 796 of the family's 1533-position model. The record is from RNAcentral.